UACGUAGGAGACGAGCGUUGUCCGGAAUUACUGGGCGUAAAGCGCGUGUAGGCGGAUGGGCAAGUCUGCUGUGAAAGCUCCUGGCUUAACCGGGAGUGGUCGGUGGAAACUGCCAAUCUGGAGGACGGUAGAGGUAGGUAGAAUUCCCGGUGUAGUGGUGAAAUGCGCAGAUAUCGGGAAGAACACCCGUGGCGAAGGCGGCUACCUGGACCAGCACUGACACUGAGGCACGAAAGCGUGGGGAGCAAACAGG
Molecule: ribosomal RNA, 253 nt
Filed under: uncultured bacterium
Lineage: Bacteria
Description: partial 16S ribosomal RNA
Rfam family: Bacterial small subunit ribosomal RNA
Source: RNAcentral